CAAUGCAACCCACAUCACUCAGGCUCAGCAAGCACUCUGAUUCCCAGUCCCCAGACAUCAGCUCACUGAUCAUCUCAAUACACUUGAUCAGCCACCACCUCCUUCAUCUCCGCACACAAUCCCACUGAUGGAAGGGGUUUCAAGACAAGCUGAGUCUUGAAAAAGAGACCUUCCAAUGAGUUAAAAUUGAAAAAAAUUGAAAAAUGAAAAUGAAAAUAGAAAAAUAAAUCAACUGGAGAGUAAAAAUUUCUACUGUUUGAAAUCACCAAUCACACACCACAGUGAAAGGCACAUAUGCAGAAAAACAGGGGUGCGGACACCCCAGCAGCCUCAAUCCCAGAGUCAAGCAGAGUAGCAUCACAAAGAAGCAACAUGGAGGGCUCAGAGGCCAGCCAAGUGGUAUCAGACAGCAGCUCAACAACUCCACAGGCAGGAUCAAGACAGGUGAGGGCUGGAUAAGACAGCACCAUCCCUGCAAGGGGGGAA
Molecule: small RNA, 486 nt
Filed under: Histoplasma capsulatum G186AR
Lineage: Eukaryota; Fungi; Ascomycota; Eurotiomycetes; Onygenales; Ajellomycetaceae
Description: hypothetical RNA
Source: RNAcentral